AGCUUUGCACAGUGGCAGUAUCGUAGCCAAUGAGGUUUAUCAGAGGCGUUAUUAUUACUAAUUGAAAU
Molecule: small nuclear RNA, 68 nt
Filed under: Rattus norvegicus (Norway rat)
Lineage: Eukaryota; Metazoa; Chordata; Mammalia; Rodentia; Muridae
Description: U4 spliceosomal RNA
Rfam family: U4 spliceosomal RNA
About the family: U4 small nuclear RNA (U4 snRNA) is a component of the major U2-dependent spliceosome. The structure of U4 snRNA from yeast and human has been reported.
Source: Rfam by way of RNAcentral